RNAcentral lists this long non-coding RNA (667 nucleotides) under Brassica rapa (field mustard). RNAcentral describes it as "long non-coding RNA (BRAP_LNC001261)". Lineage: Eukaryota; Viridiplantae; Streptophyta; Magnoliopsida; Brassicales; Brassicaceae. The record is from RNAcentral.
UCAGCUGAUCCUCUUCUCCAAGGUAAGCUUGUGGCUGGACUGAUCAAAGAGAAAGAUCAAGGUCUGAUCAUGAUCUGAACUCAACUAGGUCUAGGGUUUUAUUUAAAAAUCUCAUCUUCUGAUCUUUCUCAAGAACCAAACUGAGCUAGGGUUGAAUAUUAGAUCACCACCAAUUUUUUCUUGAUUUAUUUUUCUGAUUUUUCUCACUGAUUUUUCUGUUAUUCUUUCUCUCUUGCUCUCUAAAAUUCUCUAGGUUUUUCUGUAGGUUUAAAAACGAGGGAAGAAGCAGGAGAAGAGUUUAAUACAACCUGAGGUUGCUUCAUAUGAGGGUUUAGCUCAUAACCAAGCUUGGCUGAGAGCAGACAGCUGGCAACCUGUUUCAUCAUCAACAUCAUACUGUCAUUUCCCUCCCAUGAAGCAGUUUCCAGCCAAUCAUAAAUAAUUAAAGGAGGAAGCAAGCACACAGGCAGCUUGUGAUUUUCAUGUGCCAUUUACUGAAGAAGCUAAGUAAGCAGGCAGGUGCAAGUCAAGUGAAUGAAUACUCAACAAGUCAAGUGACAUGAGUCUAGUCCAAAAUUAAUUAGGCAGUUGGUAGAUAAUUUUAAAUAAUUUUCAACCAAAUAGUCCUUGUCUUUGUCUCUCGUCUUGUUCCCGGAAAGUCUCGUCC